GAUGAACGCUGGCGGCGUGCCUAAUACAUGCAAGUCGAGCGAACGGACGAGAAGCUUGCUUCUCUGAUGUUAGCGGCGGACGGGUGAGUAACACGUGGAUAACCUACCUAUAAGACUGGGAUAACUUCGGGAAACCGUAGCUAAUACCGGAUAAUAUUUUGAACCGCAUGGGUCAAAAGUGAAAGACGGUCUUGCUGUCACUUAUAGAUGGAUCCGCGCUGCAUUAGCUAGUUGGUAAGGUAACGGCUUACCAAGGCAACGAUGCAUAGCCGACCUGAGAGGGUGAUCGCCCACACUGGAACUGAGACACGGUCCAGACUCCUACGGGAGGCACCAGUAGGGAAUCUUCCGCAAUGGGCGAAAGCCUGACGGAGCAACGCCGCGUGAGUGAUGAAGGUCUUCGGAUCGUAAAACUCUGUUAUUAGGGAAGAACAUAUGUGUAAGUAACUGUGCACAUCUUGACGGUACCUAAUCAGAAAGCCACGGCUAACUACGUG
Molecule: ribosomal RNA, 497 nt
Filed under: uncultured bacterium
Lineage: Bacteria
Description: partial 16S ribosomal RNA
Rfam family: Bacterial small subunit ribosomal RNA
Source: RNAcentral